GAGGUUUGGGUCACAAUCUAGACACUGAAGUGUUGACUUCCUACCAAAAUUAAAUUUAGAUGUCAAAGUCAUGUGCCAAGAUAUUUAAAUUCACUGACUCUCUCAAAUCUAGAUUUGUUUAAAGUCUAAAAUAUUGCAAGUCAAUAUUUCUGGUUCAAGAGAGCACGAUCAGCUUUGUUUCACUGGCAUAAAGAAGCAGUCUGAGACAUUUAAGAACAUUUAAAGCAAGAUGCAAGAUCUUGGAGGCUUUCUGUACAGAAUCAGCAAUACAAUACAGGAUAGUAUCAUCUGCAUGAAAAUCAGCAUGACAAGUAGUCAAAGAACACAGGAUGUCAGUCAGUGCGUUUACAUGCACAGCUCGUCGGACUAAGUUCAUAGUUUGUUUUUCUCACCAAAUCGGACUUCUCUCCUUGUCUGUGUUUACAUGCAGCAAAGAAAAUUGAAUUAUUGACGUGAACUUUUCCUCUUUCCCAAAACUAGAGAGUAAAAUGGGUCUUUUCAGCAGCGCUGUUUCCGACCUCAUACAACUGUCAACAACAACAGCAGGUCAGACGUCAGAAGUGGCUUCAACUGCUGCUGAGCAUUUUCGAGCAAGAAGAUGGAGCAUCGUACAGCUUUGUUAUUGUCGUACAUGAUGUACGCACUACUUUUUCUAUGCUGGUUACGUCCAGCGUGGGUGUCUGAAUCGGAGUUCUCCAACUCCAAUCAAAGUUCUCAAACUCCGAUUAUAGCUGGACUAAGGUGUUUACAUGCACUUCAGUUGUCCAGUCUUAAUCGGAGUAAGGCAAUAAUUUGGUUUUCUCGAGUGUCAUGUAAACGUAUUGACUGAUGGUGAACAGCAUGGGGCCUAACAUUGAUCCAUGUGGCACACCUUUAGCAAUGAACAGAAUUCAGGUUCAGCCGGGUUCCCAAACCUCCAAACUCGGCUGCUGCAGUCCCUUCCUGUUUGCCUUGAAUUCAAUCUGGUGCCUGUUUACAUUACUACAGGAGAAGAUGAGGGAAGUUUGAAAAAGCUGGUAAUAUAUGCGUUUGAAGUCCAUAGUAUCAGAUUAGAGUCCAAAGGAGCCUUUGAUCAUGUCAGUUUUUCCAUUCUGGGCUGUUUCUGUAGUUUUUUUAAAGCUUUAGAUAAAGCCGACUCUGUGUCAGUUUCUGUGCGUUUAAAGGACUUUGAGGUGGAAACCCUGACAGGCUGUGUAUUUAAAAAUCUGUAACGUCAGUUUCUAAGAUUAUCUGCUUGGCACAGUUACCUCCCUUACACCCUUUUCUCCUCUUUCAUGGAAAGUUGUGCACUGUAUUGUUAGGACUUUAAAUUCAGCCGGAUAGUUUCCCCACAAUCUUACAAAAUUGUAAAAGAAGCAGCUCUUUUUUAUGAUCCGAAGACAAGUCUUGACAGUAUCUUUAUAGCUUGAAAUUUCAUUUAAGUGAGGAGCUGGAGGCAGCUGGUUUUAUUUUGAUUAGAGCAACUUAUUUUGUCUCCAAGAAUUAACGGUGCCGUUUGUAGAUAGUGCUGGAGUGUCACUUUCUUCUGCAGGGACUUAUUUUAUUACCAUGUGAUAAUGCUCUUUAGGAUAUGCCAAGGCUUCAUUUAGACGCUGUUAUUUAUAGAGAUUAUAAUUUUGCCACCGCUGAAGUAAAAAUGAGGAGAGGGAUUUGCUUUCAGCUAAUGAGCGCUUCUGCUCAGCUAAUAUCAAGGACAAAGAUGUGAACUUAGAGGUAAGCCUAUUACAUCCUCUGUUGCACCCUCCUUAUUAUCUCUAAAUAGAGUUUGGACAGCUGAUUAUUACAACAAUUUAUAUUCCACCCUUCAGUGAUGGCAGUAAUCCCUCCAAGAUUAACCAGCCAACCCGUGUUUGAAAUACAGUCCAUGAUACAGGAGCUCUUCAGCUCGAGUGUUUAGUGUAGCCUGGAGAAAUUUUAAUAUGCAAUGUUUAUGAGAUUAGGACACAAUCACAUGGACGGACAUGACAUUUAUUAUAAUUCAUCAUGAAUACUGUAUGAGCUCAUUAUGGGAGUGUUAUUAAUUUAACAGAGACCAAAGAGAAUACUCACCCCCUAAAGCCUUUGCUUAUUAUAAACUCUAUACCAUCACAUUAAUGCUUUAAUUAUGAUUAUCUUCUAUUAAUGAUGUGUGGGGGGCGAGUGUAAUGAAAUGCUGUUUUCACUUGACCAACCCGAGUACGUCUGAUAUGAUUGGUUAAAAACAGAUACGGAUGAAUACUUCAUUAACGCUUCAGGAAUAUGAACAUGCAGCAUUGCAUCAUGGAGUGCAUUAAAGUGAAACUAAAAAACAAUCAUAGAGAUUAGAAUGGUGAAAAGCUGAAGACAAAAGGAAAACACCUUGAAGAAAUAGAGAAAAUUAACUUCAGUUUGACAGUUUACCUUUCAAAAUAAAAGUCACAAGGUGUGUGAGUUUGUAAGCAAGAGUAGAGGAGAUAAAGGAAACAGAAUUUGUAAUUUACUUUUCAAUACAAACAUUAAAAUGUGCAAUAGUAGCAAGUGAGUUAGCAAGUUUACAAGUCAGCAAAUACAAAAGUCAUAAAGUGCACAAGUACGUGGGUGAAUAAGUGAGAAAGUAAGCAGGUAAAAGAGUAACUAAAUAGGGAAAUGAGUAAGUUGGUAGAUAAGUGAAUAGGAAAGUAAGUAAAUAAGUGACUAAGUGAGCAAGUAUGUAAGUGAGUUUCAUUUACAAUUCGUCAUUCAAACAAAAGUUAAUUACCAAUACCAUAAUUACCACAAUAAAUAAGCUAGUGAGUAAGGAAGAAAGGAAGAGAGUGAUUAAGAAAGAGAGUAAAUAAGCUAGUUAGCUAAUAAGUAAGUACUCCAAAAAUAAGUUAGUUUAACAUGUAUGUAAUUAAGCAAGAAUAUAAGUGAGUAAGAUAGUAAGUACUUAAUAGCUAGGGUAGGAAGUGAGUAAGUGAGACACAAAGUAAGUAAAUAACUGACUUACACAAGUCAGGAAGAAAAUAAGCAAGUAAGGAGUAGAUAUGUUAGUAAAGAAGUUAAUAAAAAUAUGAAAUUAGUGAGAAAGUACGUAAAUGAGAUGGUUCGUAAAGAUGUUAAACAAGUCACUUUGUCAAUAAGUGAGUGAGAUAGGAAUUCAAUUAUUUAGUUACUAAGUUAGUCGGUGAGAUAAUGUACAAGUAAGCUAGUAUGUAAGUUCAUAUGUUAAUUGAGUUAGUAUGUAUGUAAUGGAAAGUGACAAAGCAUUUUUGUAAGUAAGUUAGUAAAAGAAGUAAUUCAGAGUCUGUCAGUCAGUAUAAAUGAAUAAAUAGAUGAAUGUUUGCCGUUAAAGAUGACAUAGGCCGCAGUUAUUUUAGAUGCUCUUGAAAGGGGUAAGAAAACUUAGGGGUCCCGCUCAGUCGAGGGCCAAUUACCUUUGGUCAAAAGCCGAGUUAAAGGGUCUGAGCUGAACAGUCACAUGGAGGCCCUCGACAUCAGUUGGUUUCAUGUCAGCUUUACCAUGUCACCAUAGAGGCGUAUUCUGGCUUUAUGAGGAGAAAGAGCCCAAAAAAAGAAAUAGUGCCACUCUGAUCAAAAACCCUUUCAUUUCAUCUAAUGUGUUUGCAGGAUCUAAUUUGUCUGUGUCUUGGUGUCCAGUAUUGUUAGUCGUCUGCUUUUUGUUGCUUCAAUAUGUCCAUUUUCCUCUAAUAACUGAGGAAAUUUCCCAUCAGGGAGCACACAGUUGAUCUUACUGUAUCUUAAAGGCCAAAACAGAGCCGACACCCUUAGGACAUGUACUUUAAUUAUCUGAUCAUUACUUCCCAGUCCCAUCAUUUAUCACCAACUUUCUAUUUAAUCACCCGAAUCUUAACCAUGGUAAUAAAAGUUAAUGCACAUUGAAGAAAUAGCAAACACAUCUUGAUUUCUUGGUAUGUCUUCAGAGUGUAAUAAUCUUAGCACUAGCCCGGACCCAAAAUGUCUAGUGAGAAUUAACUUAACCUGCUGUUAUAAAUGAAGUGACUUGAGCCAUAGCGGCAUAAACCAUCAUCCUCGUCCAUUCCGACUAGCAGCACACACCCAACAGGUUUUUGUGUUAUUAUUGCAAAGAGCACUUGUGCACCAUUGUCAUUCUAACAAACUUCACAACAAAUGUGGCAUAAAGCCUGAAAGAGCUGUGCAGAUGAGCAGCUGUUAAACCAUCUGUCUGCUCUGUUUACUGUGAGAAAAUGGAAAUGAUCUGAAAGCUGGGUAUGUUUCAUGUUUAAAAAUGAUGUUGAUUGUUUCAUUUGAUGCUCUGCAUGGAUUACAAGGAUGUGCAGGACCCUGGAUGUUGACCUUUCUGCCUCUGUUACUGAAUUUGAGUGUUUUCUCUCUCUGGUUUUGGCUGAGCUGAACAUGAAAAACAAAUGCAAUGACAAGAGCACUUUAUCUUUGAUUUUUUUGGCUUAAUAAUAUGAACGCUUCCCUUUUUUCCCAUACAUAAGCUAGAGUAGAACAAAGUGUUUUAUAUACUAUAGAAGUACACAAUUGAUUGGUUGUUUAUUGCAGUGAAUAAUGUCAAGUGUUCGAUGCACAGAAACACUGGAUUGACGAGAAGCUCCUUCUGCAGAUCGCUGAUCCUCUAAAGCCUUCAAACGUACAGUGAAAAUGGAAAUGUGUCUCUUUGAGGGAGGAUGAGACCAGUGCCAGCUCUUCAUCAGCAGAUUCCCCCUUUUCCACUCCUCAUCCAGCCGUUAUUUUCAGCGCUGUGAUCAUCGAGCAGUCCACUCUGCGUCAGUUCUAUAUCAUUCACACCACCCUGACAUGAAAAUGAGAAUUUCUCUGAGUCUGAAGAUAAUGAGCAGAUGCUGUGCUGACUGCAGUUCAAACUGCUAUAACACACAUUCAGGUUUUCUGAAGGUGGCUAUUUCCAGACUGAGCUGGUGAAAUUUCCAGAGCUGAACUCAAAGGUUGUUAUCAUACCUUAUCAGCUCAUGUUUGCCGGGUUGAAAAAGUGACAAGUCUAGACCAACAUGGCUUUGUCAUUGCUUGUACUUUUGUAUCAUUUUUGCAUUUUAAUGUCACUCAAGAGACUGAAAAUUGUGCUGCAUGCAACCAGCAUCUUUAUGAACUGUUCCCUUGAGUGCACUACAAUACUAUCCACACACCACACAAACUUCAUUCACUACUACUACUACUACUACUCACUCUGAGCAUGACUACAUACUCCAUGCACUACUGUACACUCUGUGCAGUCCAUUCACUUCACUCAAUCCUACAUACUCCAAGCACUACAUGCAUUCAAUGCACUACUACAUAUUCCACACACUACUUCACACUCCGUAAAAUACUUCCCACUACUGUGCUGUUCAGUCACUACUGUGCAUGACAACACACUCCAAGCCCCUCUCUGCACUAUUACUCACUGCUGUGUACUCCAAGUACUUCAUGCACUGCUAUGCACUCCACUUACUAAUAUAUGCAUAACUAUGCACUACUCCACUCUCUAUGCAGCAGUACCCAUCACUAAAUACUACUAUGCACUCUAACCCUCACCCAUACCUGCCAACACCCCUGGAACUCUCCCGUAUUCCAGACCUAUCUCCCGCCAACCUCCCGUAUUGUCAUUUCUCCUGGGAAUCUCCUGUAGUUUGCAUAGUUCACAUUCAUUCAUGAAUUGGAUCACUAUAUUUGUCCAAAGUUGCCAGACAACCGAAGAUUGUCCUGUGUUUCUGCUGAGCCUAACAGACACUGGAUUGAUACUUUUACUUUACAGUUUAGGAUGAUUCAGGUCAGUUUAAGCUGUAAACUAUAUUAAAGCAGUGUUUGUUGCAAAAUGAACAUUUCAAUGAAAGGGAAACAAACAAGAGAUAUAAUAUUUACGUUGAUAGUCUUUCACCGUCUCGGAGUGAUGCGUUCAGGGCAACCUCAGAUAAAGGAAUGCUGUAUUGCACGCACAGAUGUUCAGAGAGACUCAUACUGGAGAGCAUGUAAAAUGUAGUGGACUACAUAAAUUCAAGGCAUAUCGUAGCUAUAAUUAUUAUUUUUUAUUACCAUUUGUUAUUGUUAAAAAAAAAAAAGUUUGCCGCUUAACUUACACUUAUUUGGAUGAGCAAUUUAAUUACAAAUACUCUCAUAAUUAGCUCAUAUCCCCCAUACAAGGAAACUUCAAAACUGCCCGGCGCACGCUGCAAAAAUCUCCCAGAUUUUUUAACCCAAAUGCUGGCAGGUAUGCCUGCCUAACCCUAACACAAUACUACAUGACUUCAUGCACUACUGAGAUGUCAUGCACUCCAUGCACCACUGCACUAUUAUGCAUUCCACCUACUACUAUGCACUAAUGAGCACUGCACUACAAGGACACCUUGCUCCCCACUCAUACUAAAAUCUAGAAAUUUACAGACUACAUUUACAGAGUUAAAGCUAUAAGUGUACACAAUUUUAGAUGGAUUCCAACACCCACAUUCACAAAUAUUCAUCAAAUUUGCUUGUUUGACCCUGUGAACUUACUGCUUCCCACCAUCACCUAUAUGGCAUGACAUAGGAAUCAGAAUGAUCAGUUUUAUCAUUUUUACAACAGAAAUAUAAACAAAGUAAAAGCACAUGCCUGUACACUGUCAGCUGUAACAUCCGUAAAAAUCUUAUUAAACUGUGUUUGAAGGAUUACAGAAAUUAACCAGCGUGACAGACAGAUGCUGCUCUAUUCAGUUUUAUGCUGACUUUUUGGGAGGGCAGAAUUAAAUCUGCAGAGCAAACACCCUGUGUAAGAAGAUCCCUUUUUGUCAUAAAAAGACAAUAUCAGCAAACACACUAAUGCCAGCUCAAUAUAUCAAACAGCCGUCAAACUGCUGAGCCUCACAAGUCUGAGUACAUUUUUUAUAUUUCUGGUGAGCACACAGGAUCUGCAGCUGAUAUUACCUCAUCCAUUCACCUGGUUCUCCACAUAAGUUUUUAUAAAGAGGAAUUCAGGUGAAGGCCGCUCCGUCUGCUUCCCCUUAGAGAAGAAAAUACAGAGAAUCUACAGGUAGAGCCGAAGCGAAGCAGGGAAUGUAAUUUCAGCAGAGAAUUAUGAUUGACGGGUUAGAAAGGAAUGAUAGGCAUGUCUUAUCUUUAUUUUUACGGGGAGAAGAGGCAAAGAGGAGGAGGAACGAGAGGGGAAGAAAAACAGGAGACUCUGUGAGUCAUUAAACACGGUAAAUGGAGUUCUGAUACACUCAGAAUCAUUUCAGACUCGGUUCCCACCGUGUGGAGUCCACAGGCAGAGUGGCACCAGAGAUAAUACCAAAUUGCAUACAUUUUAAUGGGCUUGACAGCAAGGGAUCAGAGAGUAUUAAUCCAUAGCUUUGUUGCACCACAUCCUGCUAAUGUGCCUCUUAACCAAGCUAUUACAAGCUCACUCAGACACUGACAAAUGGGAAAUAAAUGGGGAGGAGAUGGCGUCCGUAUUCUCUGUAGGUAUAAGGACAGCAUGUGUCUUCAGACUUUGGAAGUUUCGCUUUUGAAUUUGUUUCAUGGAAAUUUUCUAAUGAGAUAUGAGAAAUUACAAAUAUAGAGAAAGAAAUUUCCUAACUGUUUGACGAGGAGGGUGCCUUUUCCUUCAUGGUUAUGUUCGUCACAGCGACAAACAUAACCAGUCUGUCUGUUCUUCAGGCUCUGUCUCUGGCAUGAUCUGUCCUGUAUUUUAUUAAAUGCCUUGAUAUAACCACGAUCAACGCCUCCACCUCCUCCUGUCAGAGUUUAUUAAAGCAGAGCAGUUAUGAGAAAUCGCAUGGACAUCGAUUUCUUUUCUUUUUUAGUCACUCUAAUCAGAGACUCCGGGCCGAGGUGUAGUCAUUUUAAUUCACAGGUAAACCGCAGAACUGUCACGCAAAGAGCAACAGGCUUCAUACUGUCAAACCAAAGUUUAUUAUCUAUUUAACACUUAAGUCUGUGAUCACCUGCCCCGCGGUGCUGUUUGUGCAGCAUAGCACACACGAGGUGCAUGGAGCUCCGUGCUGAUUUAAAAUUGAAGCGGGAAAGUAGGAUCCUAUCACAGGUAACAACUGGAGACUCACGCUCGAUGAACAGUCUCUCAGAGGACAGAUAGACUUGUGUGGGAUCUCUUUUUGUUCGCUCCUUUCGCUCUUACUUCAGGAAAAGUCAGAGAUUGAGGAUUGGCGAUUGAAGUGUUGGAGGCUCUGCUGAUGGAUAAUGUAGGUGCAGCUGAAACAAAAUAAACAUAAACUAGUUUAUUUUAAACUGGGUAAAGCAAAGUCUGAGUUAGCAUGAACACUGUCCCCAACUUUAUGUUUGAGAGACCACUGAUUUUACCAGUGAGAUGCAGCUGUUGUUGGACUUGCUCAUGGAUUUAACUGAGUUUGAAAUCAGCCUGGUCGCUUUAUUUAUGAUCAGCAAGUAUUUGAUUCCAGAAAAGUCAGGAUUGUGGACAUCUAUGACGAAUCAUUUGGCUCCAACUUCUAACAGAGAUAGGGUGACCAUAUUCUAAAUCCCUAAAAAGAGGACACAACUACGCGGCGCCGGAGUCACAGAGUUGCACAAAGUUAGUUUUGAGUAGUGAUGUGUAAUCCCGGUGAAGCGUGUAUCGAGGCUUGUGUUAGUGACGUAUGCGAUGACGUUCAAAGCCUCACAAGCCGGCCGUACCACGUGACUGAGUCAAGAAAUGGUUCGCAGAUUGGAUCCCCCCGCACAAUCCAUAGACUUGUGACUUGUUAAAAAGUUGUUUUGAAUUAAAAAAAAUAAAUGUUAACGUAUUCUAUGUUGUCUCCAUAAUAAAAGCACAGUCACAAACCAAGUACCACAAGCACAUUCACAUCGCAACCCCCUCCAUAAUUUAUGUCCUUUUCCCCAUUUUGACCCUGCAACAAUGUCAUAAAGACAGACACCAUGUUAAUCACGUCAUCAUUUCUGUAUUGUAUCACAAACACAUGGCAUUACAUCCAUUCGUUCAUUCAAUUCUAAGUUUCGCGUGUCUUUGAUAAUCGCGCUGCCUAUUUUACAUUUAUUGUUCAUUUAUUGGCACAAUAGAGCAAAUGAAGCACAACAGUGAAGCUUCGGCCCAGGAGUCGAGCAAUUUGAUGGACAACUUCAAUGCUUCAAGACGCUUCAUCUGACCAUCACUAAUCUUGAGUUUUUCUGGUUGAAUCGAGAGUCUUUUACAUGCUUCUAACUCAGUAAGUUGAUGUGACACAAAUUCGAAACUUCCAUACAAAACCCAGUACAUUUUCAGGAUUUUAUAAACUUCCCAGGACAAAGCCGGACAAGGCCGGACAGCCCCCCACAGAGGUCUGACAGCUGGAUAGUGAACAGGAAACUCAGCAAGACGAGGAAAAAAGUGAUCUGUGCAUCAGAACUGGACUGCUUGACCUCUUUAGCAGAAAAAGAAAUUAAAAUCCUUUCUGUUGUUACAACCUUUUAACUCCACACUUCAUCCUUUGGGUGUAUUGUUUCAUGUUGCAUGCUGGUUGCACACUGCCAAUCAGCUGUUUGAUGAAGAUAUCAUAUAAAUAUGCAUGACUUGAUGAAUAAUGUGUAAUUAAUAUUUCCUUUCAGUAAGAACUCUGAAGCUGAUUUGAGCUUUAGGCUAACUCUCCAGACUGUUAUACAGAAGAUUUUUAUAUGGAGAGUGUUGACAGCUCGGCUCCCCUCAUUUAUACUCUGAUCCUUUCACUUAGCGCAUCAUUAAUACAUUUAUUCCCAGUUUGCGUGGAUUCAAAAUUAUACCAUAUCUGAGCGUGAGAGAAAGUAUCAGAUGAUUAAUACAAAGAAUGGAGGUUAACGAUGCACAGAAAACUCUCAGGCGGUCGUCUUCCUCCACGCUGGCAAAAACAAAAAGAUGAAAAUCUCUCGCUUGAUGUCUGUAUUCAAAAGCGUUUUCCCAAAAGCGGCAAAGCGAAAGAGCGAAGAGAGGCAGAAGAGGAGAGAGAGAAACUUCCAUAAACACAUGAAAGAAAAGCUGGGCUCCCUGUGUUGCAGCUCAGAGAGUAAUCAUAGAUUAUUAACAUUUAUAUUGAAAGAUGAAGCCCCAUUAGAAAGCAGCUGGUAAAUUACAUUUGGUUAAGCCUCUCUAUGUGUGUGUCUGUGUGUGGAAGUGUGUGUUUGUGUAUGAAUGAAGAAGAAAAAAAAUCAUCUGGUUUAUUGCAACAUAGCAGGCCCUAGCUCAUUUUGGCAAGUCAAUAUGGGCACCCGAGGGUAAUCUACAUGCAACUAUUUAUGAGGCUGACUCCACCAGCUCGCUGCGUUCGCCGAGGCCAACCGAGAAAAGUGCAGCUGACAUGAUUCUGGUAGAACAAAGACAUCUUGUUGUGUCUGUGUGUGUACAGCUGAUGAUGUGUUUGUGUGUAUAGUUUAUUAUGUCAGUUCAGUUGCAGAUUCCCCGUAGUGGCGCUCGCACGUCUCACAGGGUCACAGAGGCUUUUUGAAGCAGAUGUGCAGAGUUUCUUCGGCUUGAUGGUUACAGGAGAUGCAGCUUCUCAGGUGAGCGAGUAAUUGAUUUGAUGCAGAGCCGCUGUAAAUGCAGAAGAAAAAAUACAGCAGCUCUUUUACAGGAAAACAAUCGAUCCAGUUGUAUCACGUUUAUCUUCCUUGUAGGGAUGCACGGUAUGGAUUUUGUUACAGCUGAUAACAAAUAACUACCUGCCCGUCAUGGCUGGUAAUGAAAACAUAAUCGGUUAUUUCACAUCGCGCAGUUUUGAGUAAAGAUUAGGACUUGUUGUUUUUGCAGGGUCAGGAAAACCCAGAUGAGGAACCUGAGGGCUUUUUGCAUGAGAGAGGAAUUAAUAGUGCAGAAACACUGUGACUGUCUUAGCUGUGGACCUCAAUAUAAUCUCACAAAAACACAGUAGGACAGGACAUCCAUGCAGAGAAAAAUGAGCUUUCUUUCUUUUCCUUUCUUUCUAUUUUUCUUUCUUCCCUCCUUACUUUCUCCCUUCAUUCCUUCUUCCUCCUCCAGAUGAGUCCUUUAUUAGGAUACUUUAAAACUUAAAAAUAAAAGUCAGGGUCAACUCUAACACAGAGAUGACCCUAACUCUUGUAAAAUGUUUUCUCCUCAAUACAACUGUGGUAUUGACAAUGUCUGCACUGGUUGAUACACUCGCGUCCAUAUUAAAUCUCUGGAGGGUUUGUCAACAAAGUGGCCAAGCUGACAUGUAGCCCUUUAAAGUCCUGGUUGACAAUCUAAGAACCAGUUGAAAAAAACUGAGCUGUUGAGGCAGAUUUGAAAAAAGCGUCCCACCCUCCACACACAAACCUCUCUCCUCUGUGCUCCACGAUAACUCCCUCUGAACCUGUAUCACCAUCCCCAUGACACACACCCUCUGGCAGAGCAAGAAGCCAGCCGGCAGAAGAUCCUAUGCUAGCUUGCCUGGACAGCUACCGCGUUGACAUUGCAGAGGGACUAAUAAGAGUUAUUAAUUAAACAUGUGCCACGAUAAAAGGCAAAAUACCUGUUCAACAAAAACUACGCUGUCUUGGCGUCUGUUCGAAGGAUGACCAGAUGUUUAUUCGAGUUAGAUUCCUCACUUGGUCACAUUUCCUCUUUGACUCUGCCCUUUCAUCUGUCGGCUUGUAUUUUCAUAGCCAUUUUGGCGGCGGGGCAAGCAGAGGUGGUUUUUUUUUGCGUCCUUCUCCAUCACAGCUCCUGUAGCUAAGCUGCUACGCUACUUUUACGUUCAGAGCUCCGAGGGCCGGGAGAGUGGGGAGGGGACAAGUCUGAACUACGGGGUGUGUUGAAUACAGCAAGGUGAUUGGAUGGAGAGGCGGAGCAGGAGAUUGACCAAUAGGAGCUGUCCAGGACAGAUGGCCCCCAUUGGCCAAUGUUUUUGCAGCCCUGCACCUGCUAGGGUGAACAGAUUUUUUCCAUUCUUUUUUCUCUUCACUUUGUGGAGAUUGCACUGUAGGACAAUGCUCGCCAUAUAAACGAGAUUUAUAAUAAUUACCAUCUCUCCAAUUGUCAACCAUGCCUUUAAGGUAAUCCACUCAUUGUUGAUAUCUCAAACAACCCCACUCUAAAAAUGGCAAGCCUUGCCUUUAAACUUCAUAGCCAGCACCAACUCCAACCAAAUACAAAGCACACAAGUCAGUUCAUGAACAAAAUUUCCAGUUGCUUACACAUUGUAUUCAUAUUAUGCAAAUGACUCUGGGUCACUUUGUUGACUUGUCAUUCACAGAGCCUUGGCUGUGUAUGAACAGCAAAUGAAUAAUUCCAGGAGUAAAGUGUUGCUAAAUUUGACUAAACUUGUAAUAGAUCAGAACAACACUUUUCAGCUUGAAAGGAUUCAGGCAGCUGAAAGAUAAAAGGGAACAAAUGUAGGUUUUGAUAAUGGUAGAGUUACACCGUCUUGCAGCAUGGGUUUGUGUCAUUGGUCAUUAACAACAAAAACAAAGGAAAGCAUGAAAUUGUCCUGAAAUGCCUAUGAAAUCUGAAAUUUGUCCUCUCUGUGUUCAUGACCAUUUAUAAUCCAACAGAUGUUAGAGAGUCAUUUGUGUGUGUGUGUGUGUGUGUGUGUGUGUGUGUGUGUGUGUGUGUGUGUGUGUGUGUGUGUGUCCUCUGCUGUCAAAUACCCUGACAAAUAAAGAUCUCAAAGUCACUCUUGAAGUCUGUUGCCUGGUUUCUGUAUCCAACGACCAAGCCUGUCUGUCAUUUGCUGGAAUAACUCUUGUUGUAAAGUCAAUCAAGAUCCAAAAGGCUCUGUUGUUACCAAGUCUCACUCAGUAGUUUUCUCACUCUUUGGCUCAGCCCUCCUUUACACACCUUUACUAACCUGAGCUCCCUUCUACUCUCCCGUUCUCAGGUUUCUUCGCUUUUUCCCUUGGAGUAUCGAGUCGCCUUUUUCCUCUAGAAACCCCAGUCCCUAAAGUUGUCGAUGUGAAAAUAAAAAAUAUGAAAUAUCUCUUUAAAAGGGCAUGUUUGAAACAGGUAGUAUUUGGAGAUUUUGUUGUAUCCAGUGGCCAUGAUCUUACACUGAUUUCAAUUCCAAAUCCAGUGGUAAAAGAGCGCACUGUUGCCAUAGCAUUUCUCACCGAUAUAGACACAGGGAUCAACCCAUGAGGUGUGUGUUUGUGUGUGUGCAAACGUAUGGAUCUGCGUUUCCUCUUUUCAUUUUGAAUUUAAUCUUUUUUUCCAAGCCUCAAGUGCCGCAUUACAAUCGAACUUUUCAUGAUUUCUACUGUAGCCACACACUACACACAAGAGAGCAACACAUUAUCCUGGGUGUAAGUGUAUGUGUGUGUAGGGGGAGAAUGGCUGCAUCUUUUCCCGCUCUGCAUCUUCUUCAUGCAUAAACUGCCGAUCCACAAGGGCAGUGAAGUGGUUAUUUACCGUGUCUUGAACAGAAAGGAGGCAGAAACACUUCUCUGUGUUUGCAUGUUUUCGUGUGUGAAUCUUACAAUUGUUUUAAUGUGUGUCCAGGACAGAUGGUAAUAUAUUUGGAGUACCUUUGUGUGAUUUGAUGUUUUUUAUGAAUACAUUGCUCGGGUCGAAGGAUAGCUAUGACUGAUUUUUUGCCACAGUACCUACGAUAGAGUCAAGUCUCAAUCUGCAUACAUGAAUGUUAACAGCUGCAUUUUACUGAAGUAUUCUCAGGGGCCAGAGAGCGUGGGAGAUGUUUUAAAUAUGAGAUGUUUCUCACAGCAAAGGGGAUUUCUGCUUUGAAUAAAAACAUUCAAUGAAAAAUAAAAGUUGGGCGGAUGCUGGAAAUAAUGGACAUCUCACUUCUGAUCAUAUAUUUUCCUCAAACGCCUAUGAUUCAGUUUGUUUUACUCAGCAGGUCUGGAUAAAGGAUAUUUGUAUCCACCACACUGGGGGAGGCUGAAUAAUCCUCAUCACAGGAUUUCCUUUAAAAGCACAGUUGAAAAAAUUAUAUAGAUGUGCAGAAAUACUGUACAUGUGCACUUAAUCUCCUCUCAUAGCAUCUUAAAAAAAGGAGAAUGAGAGGAUGUUAGAACAUAAAGCGUUCUGGUUUCUGAUCACAUAUCACUGAGCUUCUAGAUCUGAGAGCUGCUUUCAGCACAGCUGACCACAAAACUCUUCCAUGUGGCGUCCCCCAAGGCUCCAUACUUGGUCCUAUUUCAUUCUCUUUGCACAUGCUUCCCAAGGGGUUUAUUCUUUGUAAAUACAGACUAUCUGUUCACUUAUAUGAAUUGCAUGUCUUGAUUAUUGUGAUGUACUUUAUGAUGUAUUUUAUGAUGAUGUUAUGUGACCAUAUAUUUCUUAACUCUGGCUUCCCUUUACUGGCUCC
This 14153-nucleotide long non-coding RNA is filed under the name Xyrichtys novacula (pearly razorfish). The record is from RNAcentral. Lineage: Eukaryota; Metazoa; Chordata; Actinopteri; Labriformes; Labridae.